AAAUCUCAACCUCCUCGGUUUCUUUUGGAACGCCGAAGGAGGCUUGGACUUUGGAGGGCUUUGCUGGACUUUUAAAAGGCCAGCUCCUCUCAAACGAAUUAGCGAGGUCCCCUUUGCCGCUCCUCGACGUGUGAUAAGACGCUUCCACGUCUCGGUUUUUGGCUCUGUCGCCUCUUGGGACCUGCUUCCAAUCGUCUCUCUACGAGACAACGUUCGAGCUCGCCUCGACCACGUAC
Molecule: unclassified non-coding RNA, 236 nt
Filed under: uncultured Lactarius
Lineage: Eukaryota; Fungi; Basidiomycota; Agaricomycetes; Russulales; Russulaceae
Description: sequence contains ITS2
Source: RNAcentral